GAUGAACGCUGGCGGCGUGCCUAAUACAUGCAAGUCGAGCGAACAGACGAGGAGCUUGCUCCUCUGACUUUAGCGGCGGACGGGUGAGUAACACGUGGAUAACCUACCUAUAAGACUGGGAUAACUUCGGGAAACCGGAGCUAAUACCGGAUAAUAUAUUGAACCGCAUGGUUCAAUAGUGAAAUACGGUUUUUCUGUCACUUAUAGAUGGAUCCGCGCCGCAUUAGCUAGUUGGUAAGGUAACGGCUUACCAAGGCAACGAUGCGUAGCCAACCUGAGAGGGUGAUCGGCCACACUGGAACUGAGACACGGUCAAGACUCCUACGGGAGGCAGCAGUAGGGAAUCUUCCGCAAUGGGCGAAAGCCUGACGGAGCAACGCCGCGUGAGUGAUGAAGGUCUUCGGAUCGUAAAACUCUGUUAUUAGGGAAGAACAAAUGUGUAAGUAACUAUGCACGUCUUGACGGUACCUAAUCAGAAAGCCACGGCUAACUACGUG
This 497-nucleotide ribosomal RNA is filed under the name uncultured bacterium. RNAcentral's name for it is "partial 16S ribosomal RNA". It matches the Rfam family "Bacterial small subunit ribosomal RNA", at positions 28 to 507 of the family's 1533-position model. The record is from RNAcentral.